Molecule: ribosomal RNA, 468 nt
Filed under: uncultured bacterium
Lineage: Bacteria
Description: partial 16S ribosomal RNA
Rfam family: Bacterial small subunit ribosomal RNA
Source: RNAcentral
GACGAACGCUGGCGGCGUGCUUAACACAUGCAAGUCGAACGGAAAGGCCCUGCUUUUGUGGGGUGCUCGAGUGGCGAACGGGUGAGUAACACGUGAGUAACCUGCCCUUUACUUUGGGAUAACUUCAGGAAACUGGGGCUAAUACCGGAUAGGAGCUCCUGCUGCAUGGUGGGGGUUGGAAAGUUUCGGCGGUUGGGGAUGGACUCGCGGCUUAUCAGCUUGUUGGUGGGGUAGUGGCUUACCAAGGCUUUGACGGGUAGCCGGCCUGAGAGGGUGACCGGCGACAGUGGGACUGAGAUACGGCCCAGACUCCUACGGGAGGCAGCAGUGGGGAAUAUUGCACAAUGGGCGGAAGCCUGAUGCAGCAACGCCGCGUGCGGGAUGACGGCCUUCGGGGUGUAAACCGCUUUCGCCUGUGACGAAGCGUGAGUGACGGUAAUGGGUAAAGAAGCACCGGCUAACUACGUG